RNAcentral lists this ribosomal RNA (253 nucleotides) under uncultured bacterium. RNAcentral describes it as "partial 16S ribosomal RNA". It matches the Rfam family "Bacterial small subunit ribosomal RNA", at positions 524 to 776 of the family's 1533-position model. The record is from RNAcentral.
UACGUAGGGGGCAAGCGUUGUCCGGAUUUAUUGGGCGUAAAGCGCGCGUAGGCGGCUUUACAAGUCCGUUGUGAAAACUCGAGGCUCAACCUCGAGCUGUCGGUGGAAACCACAUGGCUAGAGUCCGGAAGAGGAGAGUGGAAUUCCUGGUGUAGCGGUGAAAUGCGCAGAUAUCAGGAAGAACACCAAUGGCGAAAGCAGCACUCUGGGACGUGACUGACGCUGAGACGCGAAAGCGUGGGGAGCAAACAGG